AGUGAACGCUGGCGGUAGGCCUAACACAUGCAAGUCGAACGGCAGCACAGUAAGAGCUUGCUCUUACGGGUGGCGAGUGGCGGACGGGUGAGGAAUACAUCGGAAUCUACUUUUUCGUGGGGGAUAACGUAGGGAAACUUACGCUAAUACCGCAUACGACCUACGGGUGAAAGCAGGGGAUCUUCGGACCUUGCGCGAUUGAAUGAGCCGAUGUCGGAUUAGCUAGUUGGCGGAGUAAAGGCCCACCAAGGCGACGAUCCGUAGCUGGUCUGAGAGGAUGAUCAGCCACACUGGAACUGAGACACGGUCCAGACUCCUACGGGGGGCAGCAGUGGGGAAUAUUGGACAAUGGGCGCAAGCCUGAUCCAGCCAUACCGCGUGGGUGAAGAAGGCCUUCGGGUUGUAAAGCCCUUUUGUUGGGAAAGAAAAGCAGCAGGUUAAUACCCCGCUGUUCUGACGGUACCCAAAGAAUAAGCACCGGCUAACUUCGUG
This 492-nucleotide ribosomal RNA is filed under the name uncultured bacterium. Its description in RNAcentral is "partial 16S ribosomal RNA". It matches the Rfam family "Bacterial small subunit ribosomal RNA", at positions 29 to 507 of the family's 1533-position model. The record is from RNAcentral.